CAGAGUAGUUGGGUGUGGGGGGGAUGGGGAGUUGGAAGGGGAAUAGGAAGGGGGAUAGAUUGGUUGUACAUGGAAGAGAUUCCUGAGGAUCAAUUUAUUUUCAGUUCUUUCUUUUCUUCUUCCAUCCAUCCUCCACACACACAUACAUUUGCCGUGGGCACUGUGUCUUUAUGUAUGACUGAAUGAUUUUAUUUGUUUAAA
Molecule: unclassified non-coding RNA, 201 nt
Filed under: uncultured fungus
Lineage: Eukaryota; Fungi
Description: sequence contains ITS1, 5.8S rRNA gene
Source: RNAcentral